This 495-nucleotide ribosomal RNA is filed under the name uncultured bacterium. Its description in RNAcentral is "partial 16S ribosomal RNA". It matches the Rfam family "Bacterial small subunit ribosomal RNA", at positions 28 to 507 of the family's 1533-position model. The record is from RNAcentral.
GACGAACGCUGGCGGCGUGCCUAAUACAUGCAAGUAGAACGCUGAAGGAGGAGCUUGCUCUUCUGGAUGAGUUGCGCACGGGUGAGUAACGCGUAGGUAACCUUGCUGGUAGCGGGUGAUGACUAUUGGAAACGAUAGCUAAUACCGCAUAAGAGUAGGUGUUGCAUGACAUUUACUUAAAAGCUGCAAUUGCAUCACUACCAGGUGGACCUGCGUUGUAUGAGCUGGUUGGUGGGGUAAAGGCUUAACAAGGCGACUAGACAUAGCCGACCCGAGAGGGGGGACGGCCCACCUGGGACUGGAAACCGGCCCAGGACCCUACGGGAGGCAGCCGUAGGGAAAUUUCGGAAAUGGAGGGAAAGCUGACCGAGGAACGCCGCGUGAGUGAAGAAGGUUUUCGGAUCGUAAAGCUAUGCUGUAAGGGAAGAACGAGUGUGAGAGUGGAAAGUUCACGCUGUGACGGUAUCUAACCAGAAAGCGCCGGCUAACUACGUG